Molecule: long non-coding RNA, 938 nt
Filed under: Salmo salar (Atlantic salmon)
Lineage: Eukaryota; Metazoa; Chordata; Actinopteri; Salmoniformes; Salmonidae
Description: lncRNA (ENSSSAG00000115268.1)
Source: RNAcentral
UGUGUGUGUGUGUGUGUGUGUGUGUGUGUGUGUGUGUGUGUGUGUGUGUGUGUGUGUGUGUGUGUGUGUGUGUGUGUAGCCAGCCAGGUAGAAAAAUGGCAGAAAAAAGACGGACAUCAGAGUAUUUUUCAGUAUACCAAAACGCAAAGCAGAGCAGGCAACAGAUGGCACACAGACAGCAGAGUUGGGGACAGAUAUGCAGGGACAGACUGGCAGAGACAGGGAGUCUCAGGACCUGAGCCCUAGGACCAUGCCUCAGGACUACCUGGCUUGAUGACUCCUUGCUGUCCCCAGUUCACCUGGCCGUGCUGCUGCUCCAGUUCCAACUGUUCUGCCUGCAGCUAUGGAACCCUGACCUGUUCACCGGAUGUGCUACCUGUCCCAGACCUGCUGUCCCAGACCUGCUGGAACCCUGACCUAUUCACCGGAUGUGCUACCUGUCCCAGACCUGCUGUUUUCAACUCUCUAGAGACAGCAGUAGCGGUAGAGAUACUCUCAAAGAUUGGCUAUGAAAAAGCCAACUGACACCUACUCUUGUGUUACUGACUUGUUGCACCCUCGACAACUACUAUGAUUAUUAUUAUUUGACCAUGCUGGUCAUUUAUGAACAUUUGAACAUCUAGGCCAUGUGCUGUUAUAAUCUCCACCCGGCACAGCCAGAAGAGGACUGGCCACCCCUCAUAGCCUGGUUCCUCUCUAGGUUUCUUCCUAGGUUUUGGCCUUUCUAGGGAGUUUUUCCUAGCCACCGUGCUUCUACACCUGCAUUGCUUGCUGUUUGGGGUUUUAGGCUGGGUUUCUAUACAGCACUUUGAGAUAUCAGCUGAUGUUGUGGGAAGUUGACCUUGUUUAUGGCACAUAGCCUUUAGCUUCACGGUUUGUUGGGUAGUGUUUAUUGUUUUGUUCGCCGUCUUUUCUAAUAAAAAUAAUAUGUACGCUCA